UGGCUGUCUUGAUACUAAUUCUUGUACCAAG
Molecule: non-coding RNA, 31 nt
Filed under: Homo sapiens (human)
Lineage: Eukaryota; Metazoa; Chordata; Mammalia; Primates; Hominidae
Source: RNAcentral